UAAAAAUUUUUGUUUUUUCUAAAAAUUCUAGCGUUAACUUCAAAAUUUCUUGUUGUAUCAAUCUUGGUCGUAUUAGACACUUGGACACUUGGACAUUAAAAUGUAGCAUCCAAAUAAUUAUAACAAUUAACUUUGUUAUAUAUAUUAUAUUUCUGUUGAUUUGAACACAUCUCACAUCAUCACAAAUUUUAAAAAUAAGGAGGCACCAUUCUAUCCAUCCGUGCCAAAAGAAUAGGAAAACUAUACCUCAAUUUUAAACCAUAUAUAAACUUUCAUAUAAACUAAGUUAAGAAAGAGCAUUUCGAUUUAAGAUUCUUUCUCUAUAAAAUUUCUUUACACUGGAUAAAAAUUUCCACAUAUUAUUAAAAUGGAGUGAAGUUAAGGAUACGUGUUGUUUCAUCAUUUAUUAUAAUAUUAGAAAGAUUAACUAAAACGAAAACUAUUAGAACUAUUAUGCUUUUAACCUUAUCAAAAUCUUAUAUCCACUUCUUUUUAAACUUUUUUCAAGGAGGCACCAUCCAAUCCAUCCGUGGCAAAAAAAUGUGUUAGGAAAACUAUGUCUCAAUUUUAAACCAUAUAUAAACUUUCAUAUAAACUAAGUUAAGAAAGAGCAUUUCGAUUUAAGAUUCUUUCUCUAUAAAAUUUCUUUACACUGGAUAAAAAUUUCCACAUAUUAUUAAAAUGGAGUGAAGUUAAGGAUACGUGUUGUUUCAUCAUUUAUUAUAAUAUUAGAAAGACUAACUAAAACGAAAACUAUUAGAACUAAUAUGCUUUUAACCUUAUCACAAUCUUAUAUCCACUUCUUUUUAAACUUUUUUCAAGGAGGCACCAUCCAAUCCAUCCGUGGCAAAAAAAUAUGUUAGGAAAACUAUGUCUCAAUUUUAAACCAUAUAUAAACUUUCAUAUAAACUAAGUUAAGAAAGAGCAUUUCGAUUUAAGAUUCUUUCUCUAUAAAAUUUCUUUACACUGGAUAAAAAUUUCCACAUAUUAUUAAAAUGGAGUGAAGUUAAGGAUACGUGUUGUUUCAUCAUUUAUUAUAAUAUUAGAAAGACUAACUAAAACGAAAACUAUUAGAACUAUUAUGCUUUUAACCUUAUCAAAAUCUUAUAUCCACUUCUUUUUAAACUUUUUUCAAGGAGGCACCAUCCAAUCCAUCCGUGGCAAAAAAAUAUGUUAGGAAAACUAUGUCUCAAUUUUAAACCAUAUAUAAACUUUCAUAUAAACUAAGUUAAGAAAGAGAUUCUUUCUCUAUAAAAUUUCUUUACACUGGAUAAAAAUUUCCACAUAUUAUUAAAAUGGAGUGAAGUUAAGGAUACGUGUUGUUUCAUCAUUUAUUAUAAUAUUAGAAAGAUUAACUAAAACGAAAACUAUUAGAACUAUUAUGCUUUUAACCUUAUCAAAAUCUUAUAUCCACUUCUUUUUAAACUUUUUUCAAGGAGGCACCAUCCAAUCCAUCCGUGGCAAAAAAAUAUGUUAGGAAAACUAUGUCUCAAUUUUAAACCAUAUAUAAACUUUCAUAUAAACUAAGUUAAGAAAGAGAUUCUUUCUCUAUAAAAUUUCUUUACACUGGAUAAAAAUUUCCACAUAUUAUUAAAAUGGAGUGAAGUUAAGGAUACGUGUUGUUUCAUCAUUUAUUAUAAUAUUAGAAAGAUUAACUAAAACGAAAACUAUUAGAACUAUUAUGCUUUUAACCUUAUCAAAAUCUUAUAUCCACUUCUUUUUAAACUUUUUUCAAGGAGGCACCAUCCAAUCCAUCCGUGGCAAAAAAAUAUGUUAGGAAAACUAUGUCUCAAUUUUAAACCAUAUAUAAACUUUCAUAUAAACUAAGUUAAGAAAGAGAUUCUUUCUCUAUAAAAUUUCUUUACACUGGAUAAAAAUUUCCACAUAUUAAAAUGGAGUGAAGUUAAGGAUACGUGUUGUUUCAUUAUACACUACUAUAGAUAAUGAUUCCUUCGACUUCGUAAAUUUUUAUAAUACACAUUUCAUUUAUAAAAAUCUUACUAUAUAUCCUUACCUUAUGCAAGUUUCUUUGGUUAACAGUACUAUAUUAAUAUAUAAUAUUCAUUAUUUAAUAAAAUACCAGAUUUUUUUUGAAGAGAGUUUCUCUUUUGGUUAUCAACGGAUAUAAUGAAUGAUUGACUGGUGGAAGGAAGCACAUACAAUAUUUAAAAGCAAUUACAAUGAAAACAUAUAUAUACAUGUAUAUAUACAUAUAUGAAAAUUUAUAGUACAAAUCUAUAAUGAAAAAAUAACCCCAAAAGAAUUACUUUAAUUAAAACUCUCAAGUGGAUCAAAGUAAAUCUGUUGAAAUCAAUUAAGCAUAUCACUUAAGAUAUGUAUACCUGAUGAUUUUACAGGAUUUAUUUAAGCGAUCUUUUAUGGGAUCAUUACUUAAUUUGUGUUAAUUAACUAAUUAAUAUUAGUUUCAUUUGAUCAUGAUAAAAACUUUCUGAAAAAUAAAUUUA
Molecule: long non-coding RNA, 2465 nt
Organism: Teleopsis dalmanni
Lineage: Eukaryota; Metazoa; Arthropoda; Insecta; Diptera; Diopsidae
Exons: 11
Source: RefSeq, a predicted model, not a curated record